This 226-nucleotide unclassified non-coding RNA is filed under the name uncultured Tomentellopsis. RNAcentral's name for it is "sequence contains ITS2". The record is from RNAcentral. Lineage: Eukaryota; Fungi; Basidiomycota; Agaricomycetes; Thelephorales; Thelephoraceae.
AAUUCUCAACUGCCUCAGGUCUUGUGGCUUGCAGGUGAAGUUGGACUUUGGAGGUCUGCUGGCGCAUGAAUGGGCUUCGUGUCCUGUCGUGCUUGUCGGCUCCUCUUGAAUGCAUGAGCUUUCCAAUCCUUGGCAAAGUAUCGUCGAUGUGAUAAUUAUCUGCGUCGCCCGAGAAAGCCUAACAGGGGAAAUCUUUGAUCACGCUGGGGUGACCCACGUCUGACAA